This 426-nucleotide unclassified non-coding RNA is filed under the name plant metagenome. RNAcentral describes it as "partial contains 5.8S ribosomal RNA, internal transcribed spacer 2, and large subunit ribosomal RNA". It matches the Rfam family "Bacterial small subunit ribosomal RNA", at positions 358 to 777 of the family's 1533-position model. The record is from RNAcentral.
GGAAUCUUCCGCAAUGGGCGAAAGCCUGACGGAGCAACGCCGCGUGAGUGAUGAAGGUUUUCGGAUCGUAAAGCUCUGUUGCCAGGGAAGAACGUCUUAUAGAGUAACUGCUAUAAGAGUGACGGUACCUGAGAAGAAAGCCCCGGCUAACUACGUGCCAGCAGCCGCGGUAAUACGUAGGGGGCAAGCGUUGUCCGGAAUUAUUGGGCGUAAAGCGCGCGCAGGCGGCUCUUUAAGUCUGGUGUUUAAUCCCGAGGCUCAACUUCGGGUCGCACUGGAAACUGGAGAGCUUGAGUGCAGAAGAGGAGAGUGGAAUUCCACGUGUAGCGGUGAAAUGCGUAGAGAUGUGGAGGAACACCAGUGGCGAAGGCGACUCUCUGGGCUGUAACUGACGCUGAGGCGCGAAAGCGUGGGGAGCAAACAGGA